UGGGGAAUAUUGGACAAUGGGCGGAAGCCUGAUCCAGCCAUGCCGCGUGUGUGAAGAAGGCCUUUUGGUUGUAAAGCACUUUAAGCGAGGAGGAGGCUCUUCUAGUUAAUACCUAGGAUGAGUGGACGUUACUCGCAGAAUAAGCACCGGCUAACUCUGUGCCAGCAGCCGCGGUAAUACAGAGGGUGCGAGCGUUAAUCGGAUUUACUGGGCGUAAAGCGUGCGUAGGCGGCUGAUUAAGUCGGAUGUGAAAUCCCUGAGCUUAACUUAGGAAUUGCAUUCGAUACUGGUCAGCUAGAGUAUGGGAGAGGAUGGUAGAAUUCCAGGUGUAGCGGUGAAAUGCGUAGAGAUCUGGAGGAAUACCGAUGGCGAAGGCAGCCAUCUGGCCUAACACUGACGCUGAGGUACGAAAGCAUGGGGAGCAAACAGG
Molecule: ribosomal RNA, 430 nt
Filed under: Pseudomonadota bacterium
Lineage: Bacteria; Pseudomonadati; Pseudomonadota
Description: Proteobacteria bacterium partial 16S ribosomal RNA
Rfam family: Bacterial small subunit ribosomal RNA
Source: RNAcentral